Molecule: ribosomal RNA, 254 nt
Filed under: uncultured bacterium
Lineage: Bacteria
Description: partial 16S ribosomal RNA
Rfam family: Bacterial small subunit ribosomal RNA
Source: RNAcentral
UACAUGGGGUGCAAACGUUGCUCGGAAUUAUUGGGCGUAAAGCGCACGUAGGUGGUCUGUUAUGUCAGAUGUGAAAGCCCUCGGCUUAACUGAGGAAGUGCACCUGAAACUGGCAGGCUUGAGUACGAAAGAGGGUCGCGGAAUUCCCGGUGUAGAGGUGAAAUUCGUAGAUAUCGGGAGGAACACCGGUGGCGAAGGCGGCGACCUGGGUAGAUACUGACGCUGAGGUGGCGAAAGCGUGGGGAGCAAACAGG